AAAAGUAUACUGAAGAAAAAUGAAACCAUGGAUUCAGUGUCGAUUUACUGAAGAAUGAGAAAGAAAAAAGGCUAACUGAAAAUGAGCCUUCAUUAUUGGUGAAAAAUCUUCAAUCAUGUCCAUUGUUCUCUCUGGCAGGCUAGCUCUGACUAUUAAAUAGUAUAUUUUUAUAAAAUCACUACAGCAUCCUGAAACUGGCAACAUCAACCUACUAUACAGGACAAAACUGUUUGGAUUUUCAAAGGGGCUGGGGAGAACUGCUGAUUUGCACAAAGGCAUUUUUAUCUUCAGGAUCCCUGGAUGCCCUGUGAACUUUAGGCAAGUUUAAAGAAACGGCUCUGAGUUCUGAGAUAUUCACUGGAUCUCUAUCAACUCAGUGAAUGAAGACACCAGACUUGAGAUACCACACAGAGACGUCAACAAGUGGGAGGACUGUAUGAAGUUUAACAAAGAUAAAAGUGAAGUUCUGCACCUGGGAUGGAGUAGCUCAACUUCAAGCAACAGGACAGACUGAGGUCUGGCUGGCCAAGGAGCAGCUCUGCUGAGAAGUCCUGUCCUGUGCUGGUGGACAACAAGCUGAGUGAAAACUGAAGAUAGAGCUACAGAUUUGGCAACUUAUAACAAAUUUUAACUCAUCAGACUUUUCUUCAACACUAGGAAAAACUUAAGUCUGUGUUUCUCAUUUCAGUGCUUUGAAGAUGAGGAAUUUUUCCUAUUUUGGUCAAAAUAAAGUUUUGUUUAGGAUAUUUUAAAAAGGAUAAAACAUUUAAAAUAAAUACAGAACACUUCAUUCAGAAGUUUAA
Molecule: long non-coding RNA, 803 nt
Organism: Dromaius novaehollandiae (emu)
Lineage: Eukaryota; Metazoa; Chordata; Aves; Casuariiformes; Dromaiidae
Exons: 4
Source: RefSeq, a predicted model, not a curated record